GGGGAAUAUUGGACAAUGGGGGCAACCCUGAUCCAGCAAUGCCGCGUGUGUGAAGAAGGCCUGCGGGUUGUAAAGCACUUUCAGUGGGGAAGAUGGGCUGCGUGUAACGAGCGCAGUUUGACGUUACCCACAG
RNAcentral lists this ribosomal RNA (133 nucleotides) under uncultured bacterium. RNAcentral's name for it is "partial 16S ribosomal RNA". It matches the Rfam family "Bacterial small subunit ribosomal RNA", at positions 356 to 484 of the family's 1533-position model. The record is from RNAcentral.